UGGGGAAUAUUGGACAAUGGGCGAAAGCCUGAUCCAGCCAUGCCGCGUGUGUGAAGAAGGCCUUUUGGUUGUAAAGCACUUUAAGUGGGGAGGAAAAGCUUAUGGUUAAUACCCAUAAGCCCUGACGUUACCCACAGAAUAAGCACCGGCUAACUCUGUGCCAGCAGCCGCGGUAAUACAGAGGGUGCAAGCGUUAAUCGGAAUUACUGGGCGUAAAGCGCGCGUAGGUGGUUAUUUAAGUCAGAUGUGAAAGCCCCGGGCUUAACCUGGGAACUGCAUCUGAUACUGGAUAACUAGAGUAGGUGAGAGGGGAGUAGAAUUCCAGGUGUAGCGGUGAAAUGCGUAGAGAUCUGGAGGAAUACCGAUGGCGAAGGCAGCUCCCUGGCAUCAUACUGACACUGAGGUGCGAAAGCGUGGGUAGCAAACAGGAUUAGAUACCCUGGUAGUCCACGCCGUAACGAUGUCUACCAGUCGUUGGGUCUUUUAAAGACUUAGUGACGCAGUUAACGCAAUAGUAGACCGCCUGGGGAGUACGGCCGCAAGGUU
Molecule: ribosomal RNA, 546 nt
Filed under: uncultured bacterium
Lineage: Bacteria
Description: bacterial SSU rRNA
Rfam family: Bacterial small subunit ribosomal RNA
Source: RNAcentral